This 206-nucleotide ribosomal RNA is filed under the name uncultured bacterium. RNAcentral's name for it is "partial 16S ribosomal RNA". It matches the Rfam family "Bacterial small subunit ribosomal RNA", at positions 568 to 774 of the family's 1533-position model. The record is from RNAcentral.
UGCGUAGGUGGUUUCUUAAGUCAGAGGUGAAAGGCUACGGCUCAACCGUAGUAAGCCUUUGAAACUGGGAAACUUGAGUGCAGGAGAGGAGAGUGGAAUUCCUAGUGUAGCGGUGAAAUGCGUAGAUAUUAGGAGGAACACCAGUUGCGAAGGCGCCUUUCUGGACUGUGUCUGACGCUGAGAUGCGAAAGCCAGGGUAGCGAACG